UCCUUGGUGGUCCAGUGGCUAGGACUCUGUGCUUCCAGUGCAGGGGACCUAGGUUCAAUUCCUGGUCAGAGAA
Bos taurus (domestic cattle) is the source of this 73-nucleotide non-coding RNA. The record is from Rfam. NCBI's taxonomy places the organism in Eukaryota, Metazoa, Chordata, Mammalia, Artiodactyla, Bovidae.